CCUACGGGAGGCAGCAGUGGGGAAUUUUGGACAAUGGGCGCAAGCCUGAUCCAGCAAUGCCGCGUGAGUGAAGAAGGCCUUCGGGUUGUAAAGCUCUUUUGUCAGGGAAGAAACGGUGGGAGCUAAUAUCUCCUACUAAUGACGGUACCUGAAGAAUAAGCACCGGCUAACUACGUGCCAGCAGCCGCGGUAAUACGUAGGGUGCAAGCGUUAAUCGGAAUUACUGGGCGUAAAGCGUGCGCAGGCGGUUUUGUAAGUCUGUCGUGAAAGCCCCGGGCUCAACCUGGGAAUUGCGAUGGAGACUGCAAGGCUUGAAUCUGGCAGAGGGGGGUAGAAUUCCACGUGUAGCAGUGAAAUGCGUAGAGAUGUGGAGGAACACCGAUGGCGAAGGCAGCCCCCUGGGUCAAGAUUGACGCUCAUGCACGAAAGCGUGGGGAGCAAACAGGAUUAGAUACCCUGGUAGUCCACGCCCUAAACGAUGUCUACUCGUUGUCGGUUUUAAUUACGUUGGUAACGCAGCUACGUCGUGAGUAGACCGCCGUCGGGAGGUACGGUCGGUCGAGAGUUAAACGUUACGUAAGAAGUUAGUAGGCGUUGNGACGNGCGACGGACGACGACGAGGGAGGAGG
RNAcentral lists this ribosomal RNA (629 nucleotides) under uncultured bacterium. RNAcentral's name for it is "bacterial SSU rRNA". The stretch from base 1 to 540 matches the Rfam family "Bacterial small subunit ribosomal RNA", at positions 338 to 873 of the family's 1533-position model. The record is from RNAcentral.